RNAcentral lists this ribosomal RNA (468 nucleotides) under uncultured bacterium. RNAcentral describes it as "bacterial SSU rRNA". It matches the Rfam family "Bacterial small subunit ribosomal RNA", at positions 31 to 518 of the family's 1533-position model. The record is from RNAcentral.
GAACGCUGGUGGCGUGCUUAUACAUGCAAGUCGAGCGAGGCAGCAAUGCCGAGCGGCGAACGGGUGAGUAACGCGUAAGCAAUCUGCCCCAUAUCAGGAAAUACCCGUGCCAACGCGCGGUUAAUGUCCAGGAGAGUGGCCUUCUGCGUGGAGGGUUGACUAGAGAUUUAUCGGUAUGGGAUGAGCUUGCGUCCGAUUAGCUAGUUGGCGGGGCAACGGCCCACCAAGGCGACGAUCGGUAGCCGGCCUGAGAGGUGAUCGGCCACAUUGGGACUGAGAUACGGCCCAGACUCCUACGGGAGGCAGCAGUAGGGAAUAUUGCACAAUGGGGGAAACCCUGAUGCAGCAACGCCACGUGUGGGAAGAAGCAUUUCGGUGUGUAAACCACUGUCAUGAGGAAUAAGCCGCUCCGACGGACCUUGAUGUACCUUGAGAGGAAGCACCGGCAAACUUCGUGCCAGCAGCUGC